RNAcentral lists this long non-coding RNA (791 nucleotides) under Equus caballus (horse). RNAcentral describes it as "lncRNA (ENSECAG00000048084.1)". Lineage: Eukaryota; Metazoa; Chordata; Mammalia; Perissodactyla; Equidae. The record is from RNAcentral.
GACCACGGUACUGGUUCUGGAAGUUCUGAGCCCCUUCUGGCUGAGGAGCAGGGAGUACCUAUUUGAGAUCUUUGUUCUCUUUCACAGGAACAGGUGUGAGAACUGCAAGGUCAUAAACAAUCAAAUGACUGACCACUAUGGCAGACUAAUCACCGCCUACAUGAAGUUAGCCUUUGCACAUUUGAUAUGAUUUCACAAUGAUGUUCCCAAGCUGCAGUGGAAAAUAUACUUUUCACUUGUGAAAAAGAACAAGUGUGUUUUGGGUAACUUGAAUGAAGACUAGGCUGUGGGGUUCCUGGAAAACACCUAAGGGCCAUCAGUGGUCCACAGACUUCAAGAAAUAUACAGCCAUCAGGUGAGGCUUUUCUGGAGACAGUGCCUGGAACAUAACAAUGCUGGACAAGUGUGAAGCCAGAAUUUUCUCAGUGGCAUCAGACUUCUGUCACAAAUAUGAGUUGAGCACUUCCCUACAGUGCUGAGGAUCCUAGGAGAUGAGGGAAGUGACUCCUGGUCAGGUCAAAUGACUUUUCCGGGUUUCCCGGGUGACAGAGUCAGAAAGAGCAAGGACAUCUUUCAACAUCCUGGCCAGUGCUCUUGGCAUGUUCCCUUCAUUAUUAUACUUUAAAAUUAUUGGACUUUUAAGGCAAAUUUCCAAGAAAAAUAAGGUAUGUGCAUAGAUAUGAAUGACCAAUAAAUAAAAUUUAACUUAAAAAAAUCCACAAUAUAAAAUUUGUAUUAUUCAGAAUUCAUUUACAUUUGUGGAAAAAUCCAACAUCUUAUUGGUUUUGCAG